This 253-nucleotide ribosomal RNA is filed under the name uncultured bacterium. RNAcentral describes it as "partial 16S ribosomal RNA". It matches the Rfam family "Bacterial small subunit ribosomal RNA", at positions 524 to 776 of the family's 1533-position model. The record is from RNAcentral.
GACGAACCGUGCGAACGUUGUUCGGAAUCAUUGGGCUUAAAGGGCGCGUAGGCGGUCUGCCAAGUCCGGGGUGAAAGCCCCCAGCUCAACUGGGGAAGUGCCUUGGAUACUGGCGGACUCGAGGGAGGCAGGGGUUGUGGGAACUUCCGGUGGAGCGGUGAAAUGCGUUGAUAUCGGGAGGAACGCCGGUGGCGAAAGCGCACAACUGGUCCUCUUCUGACGCUGAGGCGCGAAAGCCAGGGGAGCAAACGGG